RNAcentral lists this long non-coding RNA (744 nucleotides) under Homo sapiens (human). RNAcentral describes it as "uncharacterized LOC105375387, transcript variant 3 (LOC105375387)". Lineage: Eukaryota; Metazoa; Chordata; Mammalia; Primates; Hominidae. The record is from RNAcentral.
UGUAUUCUGCUAUGUCUACUGGGAGAAUACACUAGUGGGGAUAGUUCUGUGUAUACAGUGAUUAAGCACAUAGGUUCUGGAGCCAGUCUGUUUCUUUCAAAAUCACCUCAUUGCUUUUGAAGAAUCAGGGAAACCCCCAUGAGACUACAGGUGUGAAGCAAGAUAGAAGCAUCAGUGCAAAAGAGUCUCUUCCAGGGUAAAGGAUGGACUUUGGUGUGUUCUCUUUUGUACAUGCCUCAGUGAGAUGCACAAAGCACAACUUGGUCAGAUUCACAGAGGCUCUUGUCUCCUCUAACUCUUCCUGACUCAGUACUGCAUUUCCAAAUAAAGCCACUCACAAUCUUUAAUCAGGCUGUAAAUUUUAAGAAAUCUGGACCAAGACAGUUUGCUCCAAGAGUAUCCCACAAAUGCAGAUCUUCAGAGUGAGAUUUUAUUAUUGGAUUGCUCACCUGUCUGUUGCAUCUUCAACCUUUCUGGACUACAGCACCUGCCAACUGACCCCCACAUCAUGGCUCCAACGCUGGCUUCAUCACAUAUCUUCUCUCUCAGUCCCUUUGGCUCUCAGGGUGCAAUAGCUUAACAAAAUUGCUGAUCUAGGUGCCUCAGCAUUGUUUCUUUGUCAUAGUCUCUGUAUUAUCUUAUUUUGAGCCAUUCUUUUCCUGCAAAGAUCCUAACUGAAUGAGAUAACUACUUCAUAAGCUAUUUGUAAGGUUUAAAUAAAUUAAUGCAUAUUUAAUACAUGAA